AUAGAACUCUUAUCCUAUACCUUCUACUAGGUCAUGUCACAGAUGAUGUCGGUGUUUCUACUCCAGCUAAAGAAGGAAUUAUGCAAGGAAACGGAGCACGAUGUGUUGUAGGGUUUCCUCCAUGCAAAGAUAACAAGUGCUACUGCUGCAUUGGGGGGCGAACUCAUGCUCGCUACUCUACGAUGGCUGAGUGUAGACAUGCCUGCUUCUAAACAAAAAUUAAGAUCGCUGUUAUUAUAUACAUUGUAAUGGUAGGUAAUGCUAUUAAUAAUAUAUGGGAAUUUUAGUUUUGGUAUUAUACUUUUUUCCAAUUCACAAAAUUUAGUCAAAAUCUAACCAGUUUUUUAGAGGACUUAAAUAUAAAGUAUAUUUCCCUAUAAAUUUUAAUGAAAAAAAUAUUAGAAUGCUUUGGGAUGCCUCCAUCAGCUCGUGGAUGCUGUUGCGGAUAGACAACAGUAUCGGUAUAAAUCUCACUGCACAGAAUGAGGACGUUUCUAGGAGAACGUGCAUUCGGUCACGUUAGCGGAAAAAUCCUGAGUAGCAGUAGUUGCCUCCCAUAUCGGUGUCAACACCACGAAUGUUUCGUGCGACACAGAAGGUUUGCGGCUUGCUGUGGCAUUAAUCCGGCUGCGGCUUGUACAGUAUUUUGUCUCUAUGGAUUGCAGCUGCAGCCGUCUGAACAUCUGCAGGUCCUGUGGUUACAGGGCAGCCGAACAAGUCGUUGGUGCGAGGUCGGAGCAGUGGCAACCUGAUGCUCAAGGUGGUUCCAGAUGUCCACUCAGACAGAUGCUAGAGGCUUUUGGAUGCGACAUGCCUCUUCAGGGGAAGUGGAUCCUAAAGCCGAUGUUGCCCGCUAGGAGCAGGGUGCUCCAAGCCAAGAAACAUCCCAGAAAGGGAAGGAGGUGGCGCCGAACGAGGGUGGAUCAAGCGACGAUCGCAAUAGGUCACCCGAUUGGGGAGACUCCUCGCAAAUAGUAACGAUAAGGUCAUUAGGACCUUUUGGGGGCACAUGGCACGAUCAUGAGAGUUAGACUUCCUUGUUAGACUUUCUUUUUUUGCCACAUCCUUACAUCUAUUUUCUCAGCCCUAUGACGUCAGCCCCUUGUAGCACCCCAAAAAUGCAAACCUAGAAAAUUUCUCAAACUCGCUCUAAAUUCAAAAUGAAUUUUAAAUUUUGUUUCAAAAUGUUUUCUUGCGAGUUGAUCUCAACAAAAAAAAUAUAGUGGUCUGCCUUAUCUCCGAAAUUCUUUUCAAAAUAUCCUACAAAUAUUUCCCUAGUGAUCCCCUCAAAUUCUUUUCAGAAAUACUGGCUAAAUGUUCCACCGAUAUUUCUCCAAAUAUUUUUCUCCUAAGAAAUACCCUCGGAAUCACUUUUAAAAUCCCUACAAAUAUUUUCUUAAUAAUUUUCCUUAUGCUCAUACAUAUACAUACGCCUCCGGGGUCAUACAGUGAGCUCUACAAGCUAAUUUCACUUAUCCAUAGCUAAUACAUGGUUUAUCUCUCACUAAUCCUCGCCUCCUCCCACUAAUCCUCGACUCCUUCGCCUAAUCCCCCACCUUGCCCAUUAAUAAAGGGGCAAGGGGCCCACUCAUGCCAUCCCAAGCCAUUUCAUGGCUACUCAAUCCCACUCACUAACUUACUCCCACUCCGACACAAGCACAACACGCGCACAAGGAUAAUUCGGUUGUUCAUUCAAUUGUUCGUCCAAAUGUUCAUAGUUCAUUCGUUCGUUCCUCCGAUUGUUCGAUCAUCCAUCCGAUAGUUCAUGGUUCAUUUGUUCAUCCGUCCGAUCAUUCGAUCGUUCGUUCGUUCGUGUCCAAAUAAUCUUUGUCCAGCCAUUAUACUGACAAAAUUCUGAUCGCUCUUUCGUCCGAUCGUUCAUCCGUUCGUUCAUAAUCCAUGUUCAUCGUUCGUUCCUAUGAACUAUUCAUUGUUUGUUCAUAAUACCUAUUCAUCGUUCGUCCAAACGAACUAUUCAUCGUUCAUCGAAUAAUUCAUAAUCACUAUUCAUCGUUCAUCGGAUCGUUCAUCCUACUAACCAUCGUUACUUAUUAUUGUUCAUCUGAUCGCCCAAAUAUUCAACUACUCAUCCAUCAUGAUGAUGAGCUCACCUAAAACCUGCUAGACUAAUAUCUCAGCCAUACAAACUCUGGUGACUGUGAUUUUCCUUCCAGUUAGAACUUCACGAUUGGUCACCCAUCCCAGAAUUGCUCUAAGUUGAGAACGCUUAACUUCGAGGUUCUUUCGAACCAGGCUUUCAAAAAGAAAGGCGAACCAUGUUUGUACAGAUAUGUAGCACCCCGAAAAUUCAAAUCUAGAAAAUUUCUCAAACUCGCUCUAAAUUCAAAAUGAACUUUUAAAUUUUGUUUCAAAAUGUUUAUUUGCAAGUUGAUCUCAACAAAGAAAAUAUAGUGGUCUAUAUUCUCUCCAAAAUUCUCCUCAAAAAGACCUACAAAUAUUUUCCAAGUGAUCCCUUCAAAUUCUUUCAGAAAUAUUGCCUAAAUAUUCCAAAUAUUUUUGUAGUUUGUUCAUUCGUUCGUCCAAAUAAUCUUUGUUCAGUCGUUAUGCUGCCAAAAUUCCGAUCGUUCGUUUGUUCAUUAUCCCUAUUCAUUGUUCGUUCAUACAAACUAUUUAUCGUUCAUCGUUCCUUCAUAAUCCAUAUUCAUCGUUCAUCUUUCGUUCAUAUGAACUAUUCACCGUUAAACGGAUCAUUCAUAAUCAUUAUUCAUCGUUCAUCCUACUAUACAUUGUUACUCCGAUCUCCCAAAUAUUCAACUUCUCAUCCAUCAUGAUGAUCAACUCACCUAAGACCUACCAGACCAAUAUCUCAGUCAUACAGACUCCGGGGACUGUGAUUUUCUUUCUAGUAAGAACUUCCCCUUUGGUCACCCAUCCAAGAAUUGCUCCAAGUUGAGCACGCUUAACUUUAAGGUUCUUUCGAAACAAGCUUCCAAAAAGAAAGGUGAAACAUGUUUGUAUGGAUACACCGUCAAUCUUAUAAAUCCUGGCCCAAGAUACCACAGCCCGUCCAGACGAGAAUAUCGCAGUAUUCCAGUUGUUUGGGUGCUGCCUUACUCUUGUCCGACAACAGAGAAGGUAGGAACAAUUGCCACCAACAUAAGUAUCUGCUCAUGAACAGUCCAGAAAUAAUUCAUGGCACUUUGCUUCCAAAUAUCUCUAAAUAUUGUAAUUUUGGAAUAUUCUAGGAAUAUUCCUUUUCCCUUUUCCUUUUAUAUUCCUAUGAUUAUAAAAACCAAAACUCCUUUGUCCAGUCUCUCAUUUUGACAGUUCUGAUUUCUAAAUUCUUAUCAAAUUACCCUCUAUCCAUCCAUGUAAUUCCGUAAGCAUGGUUCAUAUUGUAGAAAACUCCAAAAAUAGUCUUGUCCCAUAUUUCACCUAUAAUUUUCUAUCCAAACUGAUUCUUUCACCACGAUUCUCAUAAACAGUAAACUCUACCAUACUAAACCAUACGCACCCAUCUAUAAAUACCUCCAGAGAGUUACCCUCUCCCUUCCACACCCUCAACAACCUGAGCUAAGGCAACCACCCCCCGCACUCAGUUACCUCCCUCUGCCACUACACUUCUAGUAUUGGUCCACCUCCAAUACACUCUUCGGGUAAGCAUCUCUACUCCAUCAACACAAACUAUACUCAAAACUAUAUUCACCCAUCUACCACCAUUCCUGACCACUAUAAUGAAUAUUUGUUGAUAUACUUGCUGAUUUGUAUGCUUGCUUGUUCAUGCUAUGUAGUUAUCGGAGCGUUCAUGCUGUCUUGUGAAGGCCAGUUCUGCAAGUCUACGCCAGACGGUGGAGCCAGAAGCCAAUUCCACGAGCUCUCACCCUUUCACUGGUUAAAGCAUGGCAAGCUCACUGGAUCCCUUUGAUGCAUAAAUUACAUAUGUUUUUCAAAGACAAUCAUCAGCAUGUUAUUUUAUGCAUUAUAUGAUUUUUCUGCUAAGAGACAUGUUAAUAUGGCAACCUAGCCUUAGAACUUUGCCGCAAUUCAUCUUUAUACUCCUUAACAUUUUUGUUACAAAAAGGUUUGAAAAAAGGUGUGAGUUUUUCAAAAUAAAAUGUUUUUCAAAAUGUGUAUGAUGAAUGGUUAUCACCCUUAUCACCUUUGAGUGGGAUGAUCAGGGACUCCUCGGUGUUGGGUGGGCCUUAAGGUGAUGGCUUAGCCCGGUUAGGUGUGAGAAUGAAGAAUUACCCCUCUCGUAUAAGGACCGGUAUGCCAUUCUUCACUGUCUAUAGUCUUUUCAAGUACAACCACUCAAGACCAUAUGGGCAGUCACUUGAUCCAAACUUGCACGGUCGGCACCCUAGGGUUAUGUUGGCUGGCGAGCACCAGGAGGACAAGGAGGGGGAAAGUUUUGUCCUGGUUUGGGCAUGGAGGUGGCCAUGUUACUUUUGGUAUAACUGUUAAGGUAAAGACAUGUAGGGGAGGAGAGAGUUUCGGUAAUCCGAUCUCACGACGGUGAGAUUGCAGAAACCGGACUAUUGGGUGAAGUGUACACCUCUUCACAGAGUUUCAAAACCUAUUCGAAUAGUCCGCGUCCACGGAUAUGAAUGAGUUAUGACUUGGUUUGACAAUUAGUAUGUUGUUUUCCAAAAAUGCUUUUGACAAUUGGUUUCAAAAGUUUUGAUGGUUGAGUUGUGAGCUAUGGUGGACGGGAAGUCCAAUAGCUGUUUUUGAAAUUGAAAAUGAAAACCGUUGGGAAAUUACCGAGAUUCCUGGAUGGUUUAGUCUAGGGGAUUUUGUUCUAUAUAAAAAAAUUCCUGCUCCUUUGGAAGAGGAAGCAUUUUGAAAAAAGAUAAAAUGUUUUACAAAAUAGCCCUAAACCCUAAACCAUAAACCCUACUGCAUAGAGAACCCCCUACAUCAAGCAUGUUUACUAAUGCAGGACACCAAGACUUGCAGGACACCAAGACUAAAGAAUAUGUAUAACUAUUCACAGAAUUUCUUUGUACAUAUAACAUAGAAGAAAUUUUGAUUGUCCUCAAUGAACACAAUCAGGAUGAAAUAAUAACAGAAGGACAUUAAAUAAAAACAGUGUUAAUAAACGUAGAUGAGGUAACAAAAACAUAUAUCUCGUGAAAUGAUUUUUUGAGGUCAAAGUGCAAGGUGGCAAUAAAAUGAGAGAAUUCCCUAUUUAACGCUACUAUAUGAGUGCUUCCUUCUAUGGCCAUGAAAAUUACAUACUCAAUGGAUGCAGGAUCUAACUUUUAUUCUUAAUAACACUAAUGUUAACUAUUCCAUCAAGACAAUGAUGAGUGCCAUGUGAAAAGAUGGGGCUGCACUUAUGGUUUGCAAUUCUGCAAGUAACAGCUAGAGCAUCAGGUGGUGGAGCAUUUGUGUUUCAAGCAUUUGUGUUAAAAACCAUCCGAUAUCAAAAUUAGCAUUUGUGUUUUAAUUCCAUCCUUUGAUGUGUUUUUAUUUGCUAUCACCAUUACCUUGUUAUCCAUCGAUCUUGCCUUGAUACUUAUCUUUGUGCCUACUCUUUAAAACCUCCUCUCUUCCACCUCAAUUUGAGAGCGGCAAUUUACCUAUCUCGCCCUUGGACGUACCCUCUCCUUUUCCAUUUGAAGGUCCGGUAUUAACUCCAUUAUUUAUGGUACUUAUACCCUUCGUCUUAUGCCUAUUUAUCUCCUCUCAUACAUCCUUGUCUGUUAUUACCUUAAAAACCCUCAUGAUAUCUAUGCCCAUGCCUUCCUGCUUACCUUGAACCUACCCUUUGAAGCCCCCUCUUUUCCAUCACUGUUCAAGGAUAAUGCCUCAUCUAUUUCAUCAUUCACUACUCCCUUUCUUUGACACCUUGCAAGUUUUAUCUAAAAUACAUUCAUUGGUUGUGUGUUUUUUUGUGAUCACCUUAACCCUUGUCAUCCAUCGAUCUUGCACCUUGAUGCUUAUCAUGUACCUGUAUUUUAAAGCUUCCUCUCCCAUUUGAGUUCAUGAGUGUUGUCUUACACCUCCUGCUCUUAUUCGUUCCCUAUUCCUCUGUCGUGUUGCAAGUUGUAACACCCCAGGUGUUACUCAGGGUGUCCAUCCCAGGGUUACCCCCUUUUACCCAUUAUCACAUGAAGACUGAUUUGGGCAAAGUAUACCAAACUUGGAAUUCUAGGUCCUAAGCAAGUGUAAUCCACCUUGGAUGUCAUGCCCUAGCUUAUCAUGCACAUCUAAGUGGGGUUCUCCCAAAACCCUAAAGCAAAACCCCCAUAGGCAAUGGGAACCCUAAUUGAAGCCAUGAUCAAAAGAUUAUGUAAACCUUAUGAUCAUGGUUUGGGCCAAAUAUAAAAGUUGUAGUACACUUAAUAACCUACAAUUAAUAGUAAGGAAGUACCCCCAAAAAGUUUCCAGAAAAGCCCUAAACAGUUCACCUAAGAUUUAGCACAAGGGAAAAUUCAGUUUUUGCCUAAGUACAAAAACUAACCCUUGCACAAAGACUCCACAUGUUCACCUUAAUCCCCUUUUCAAAACCCUUCGACCCAAUUGACAAAAUGGCGCCAAAUUAACCCUAGGACACCCUGGAAAGAGAUGACACCUACCCUAGGGCGCUAGACACGACUUGACACCCCUUUUGUCUCGGUUCGGGCUUGGCUGACACAGCAAACUUCUCCCCUCUCUAUCUCCCUACCCCGACCAUAUCUCGACUUGGAACUCACAGCGAAAAGAUAGGAUUUGGAGCAGAGAAGCGACCGUACACAGUGACUUUGCCAAGAUACGCACGCUAUGGCGCUCUAAUCGGCCGUUGAACCAUGGCAGAAGCAAGCUUCCACGUGUUCGACGCGAGCUGGCAUCCGGGGGCGCGCUCAGAGCACGCCCGUGCGCGAACCCCCGCGCACCCGCGGCCGCCCGUGACCACGCCCGCGCCACGGCUAUAAAGCCCGCCCCAGUGCUUGGCUGCCUUCCCCGUUACCUCCUCCGUACCUCGCCGGACUCGCCCGAGCCAGCCAUUAACUCCGGCGACCUCCCCGCGACCCGCCAGUGCCGCCCGAGAGCAACCACCGUGGCCAGCCCCUCUCCCGUCCUCCUCCGUUCGAUCCAAGCCCUCAGAGAGCUUCCUGGUGAAGCCGUGAGUCUUGCUCAAGCUUGACCCAGGGACCCGCGUCACCGGAAUAGCCCAAUCGUGCGCACCGGAGUUCAAGAACCCGCCGGCGCACGUGGACCGGGUAAGCCCCUGCACCAUUUUCCAAUUCCUUGCGCGUAUGGCCUCUGUGUCACCCCGUGAAGCUCCUCGUGCACCCUAAUUGAUCUAUGCCGCCGUGGUUUGGCCGGAGCAGGAGCCGCCGACGACCCCCACCGCCUGUGCUCGUGGCCAGGGUAGCUCCGACCACCUCCGACACCGACCCGCACAUCGGCGUGACCGUUGCGACCUCCUGGACGUCACUGACCACCCCGCCGGAGCUCUACUGCCGCCGGUAAGCCCCACCGCCGUAAAAUGUACCGCGGGCACUGUUUAAGCCGGUCAGGGAGCGCGGGUUAGAUUUUAGUUAAGUCCAGGGGGCUUGGCGCAAUGUCAGUGACUCAAGCCAAUAGUGGACCAAGGGCUGUUCUGUGAGAAAAGAAAAGGAAAAACCCCAGGGGCCUCGGCGUAAACACGUUUUCUUUUUCUAUUUUCGAAUUUCUUUUCUUUUGUUAAAACAGAUAGCUAAGUAAAUGCAUAACUUGCAGAAUAAUCAUCCAAAAAUGUUCAAACCAAUUUUGCUAGAUUCAGAAAUUUAUGAGCUAUCAGAGAAAAAUAAUAGAACCCAUAGCUUCUGUAUUUCUUUCUGAAGUUUAGAAUUAAAUAAGGAAACCACUCAAAACCCAAUAUUAGGAGGAAAAAUAGGAAUAUUGUUUGACCAGGGUUAGAAAAAUUUGGAGAAACUUCUAUCUACCUACUAGACCAAGUAAAAAUGUUAAACCUCUCUGUCCACUCCAUUUAAGUUAGUUUUACCCUUUAUUCUAUAAUAUGCUUAAGAAUAAGGAAAAUAGAAAAUGCAACUUAAUUAAUGAACCAGAGAGUACUUCUAUUUUUGUUAGGUUACUUAUUCAAUAUAGUUCACUGGAAAAAUAUAUCAUACCUUGGUUUAGUACAAAUUAAGUAGGAUAUCUUUUAUUUUAUUAAAACAAGGAUAACUUAGAAAAACCCUACAAAAAUGACCCCAAGGUAAAAACACCCCCACCCUUGGGAUGACUAUUGUUUUAUUAGAGAGAACUUAGGAAAAAUAUGAAAUCUGCUGUUUGACAUUUUUCAAAUAAUAUUGUAGUAGAAAGUGCCAUUUUGACAUUAAACUUAAGAAAAGCAUAACUAAAUAACCACCCCUUAGUUUUCUGUAAUUUUUAGCACAGAAACCUAUUAUUACCAUAGGAUGCCAACAAAAAUACCUUUAGGCAGAACCCACCCCUAACUAAGAGGUGUAGUGUGAAGUGGCCCAUUUUGCCUAACUUUUGUUAUUUUUGUUUAAAGCCUAACUUUUAUACUUUAAGCCUCAAAUUCUUAAAACAAGCUAGAAUAGCCAGUGAUAACCCACUGGAAUUUUUACAGAAUUUUUGGAAAAUUUUAAAACCCUGUUGUAGUUCAAACCUACCCCAGAAACCCUAAAUGGAAAUUAAGGAAAGGAAAAUGAAUAAUGGAAAUUUAUGUCAUCUUAAGACCUUUGUAAAUUGUCCACUGAAAUCUAUAAAUACAACACCAAUCCACUAUAAUAAUCUAAAAGAAAACCUAAUCUUAAAAGGUAAUAAGUCUAUAUCUAUGUAUACCACUGGAAGCCCAGCGUGACUAAGAAAACCCUAAGUUACUUCUUAACUUAGUUUCUUUAGCUUAUUGUUCUUAAAUCCUGCAUAAUCAUGACAUACAUGUUCAUUGCAUUUCGAUAGACUGUAAUCUUGCUGACGGAGAGUACAUCCUCGUGCCGGAGCAAGGAGCUGCUCAGGAGGUAGCCCCAGAUCCAGCACCCGAGCCUGCACCAGAGGACCUGCCUGCCACAGCUUUGGAAGGCAAGCCCCGGUUUUAUGCAUAACCUGUUAUUAUACUAGUUUACUUCACUUAAUGCUUGUAGGAUUGAUUGUGCACUUAAGUGUAGGAAUUGUUUGAAACCCUAGUUGCAUGAUCUCAGGAAUCCCAUUGAGAUGAAUACUAGUAUGAUAGGUCGAGUAGUUGCUUUAUUUAAUUAGGAUCUCGGUAGAAGACGAGUGAUUUUUCUAGCACUCGCGCGAGAUCAGGGAUUUGACUGUACCCACUUUCACAUUAUCAUGGUACUGGUUGAUGGACAACAAUCCAUGGGGAUUGGUUGUCUACGAGAUGAAAUUUGAAUAAGGAUUAAGGUGUGGUACCGUGUGUCAAGCGUUUGAACGUACUAAACACAUACCGAGAAAUAUGGUAAAUCGGUAAGCCUAGUACCUGAUUGAACCUGGCAGUAGACUUUGCCCCUCACGCGACCUGAGACGAGGUCUCCCAUUCCGGUUAUGGUGGGUACAAGUGCGGUCACUGCACGACGGCCAGUCGGGGUCAGUGAGGCAUUGUAAGCCAAGGCGGUGAGCCCUGUUCUGCUGACGAGGAAUCGAUGGGGACGGUUGAUAUGUGUGGGGACGGAGUGCCCCUGCAUGUCGUGUGUUUAGGUUUACCUUGCAAGGAUAAAAACUCGAUUCGAAUCGUCUACUUCUCGCAGUUAAUGAGACUGCUUGAUCCAUGCUGCUACAUUGAGUAAUAAGUGGAAGUAUGAUGAGUUGAGAUAAGAUGUUGAUUGUUAAUAAUGCUUGCUACCAUGUAUGAGUAGAUAGUUCACUUUUAGCCUUAAGAGAGUCACACUUAACUUUGACUAAGUUAAAAUCUUGAUUUAGAAACUCAGCUAGUGCUUUUGGCAACCAAACCCCACAUCCAAACAGCUGCAUGUCUAGAGGUAGAGGAGUAGACUCCUCACACCGGGUAAGUCUAGCUGAGUAUUAGUAUACUCAGCCUUGCUUGUGGCAUAAUUUUUACAGGUUCUCUGGAGGAGAUGGUUGCUGGGAUAACUUGGCCGUCCACCUUGCCACCGGGUUGGACUGUUGAGUGGGACCCUGCCUCGGCCGAGGAGGAGCAUGAGGAGUGAUGGGACAGGCUUCCCCAUCUCUCUGUUUGAUUACCGUUAGUUUUAUUCCGCUGCACUUCGAACAAUGAUGGUUACUUUUGCAAAAACUCCGAUGAUGAUGAUGGUGAUGUAAUAAUUUAACAUUGUGACAUGAAUGGUUUUAUGCUUUAUUGUAUUUGCUCUGUGACUCACCUUCGAGUGAGAUUGUGGUACUUGAUCCUGUCAGUGGCCGUGUCGAACUAGAUCCGAGGGAUUGACGGGUUAUUCCCAUUUAAGUGUGGUCUAGCCUCUGAGGCGGGAUUUGGGCACUUAAGUUGGAAUAAUUCGGGCAGUUCCGCCAGAGCUGGUAUCGGAGCUUGUACCACCACAGAGGAAUCAAUAAAAUGUAAAUACCAUCAAUUUUUCUAAAUAAAAACUGAAUAGAAACAAGGUUGGAUAGAUAGCAGGACGAUCAGGAUAGACCUAGGACGUGAAGCCUUAAGAUAAGAGAAGGGUAGCUAGGUGGCUAAGUAACUAGGCCCUACAGGCCACUUUUACAGGAUGGGAGUUCCUCCCUAUUCCUUUUAUCUUGUUGUGAGGCCGUUCAGGACGAGCAUGCAUGCAUUCAUAAUUAAGCAAUGGAUAACUGAGUAAAGGACUUAAAAACAAGAUAACAACCAACUAGGUCCCUAGUGCCUUUUUACUUAACUAGAGAAGGGCUGAGUUUUAUUUUCCUUGUUCUUUUUAUAAUUCUUUUUCUUUUACAUACGCUUAACCGUACACAGAUGACUUCCCACGGAUCCUCCGAUGACGGAAAUGCACUGACCCACACUGACGGACUUGCACGAGAGGGCUUUCCCCGCAUUUUGUGGGAAGUACUUCAGGGGGCCGGAUAAACGACACCCCCUCAGUACGCGGUGCAGCAGUUCGAGAAGCACCGAGUGCCUCGCUGUAGGGUGAGGAUGACCUUGGAGCCUCAUCCCCUGCAGCCAGGAUGGCGCUCCUUGGACUCCGAGUCUUUCGGGUACCGAGCAGAGGACACGAUCGAGGCGAUCGCUCUGCAUGGGUUGACUACCUUCUGUGGAUUCCAUCCCUUGGAGCUGGCUACCCACCCCAUUGGCUUGUUCCCCGCUGAGAAGGAGGACGACCCAAUGUGGAAGGAUCGGGUGGAGCAUGCCAAGGACAUCUGGGCCAUCUACCCAGGUCAGACUGCGCAUUUGACAGUACGGUGCAUGAAUGCUCUGUACCGUCUGCAGGUGAUGCGCGGUGAGGCAAUGUCCCAUCUGAUGGCACUGCUGGAAGCAACAAAGAUCACGCUGGAUAACUGAGAGGAGCUCGUGGUUGACCUAUCUCAGGAAAUGGUGGAGAAGGAUUUGCAGGUGGAGCAGCUAUCCACUGAUAUUCAGGAGUUGGAGGAGCUGGUAGGCACCAGGGAGAACACCAUCGAGGUUCUCGAGGAUCAGCUCGUUAACACUCAGCAGCAGCUUGCUGAGGCUAACGAGCACCUGGACAUGCAUCACCAAGAGAUCCAGGACCAGGAGGCCAACGAGGACGUCGACAUUGAGGGAGGAGAUGAGCCUGCCUCCAGUGUGGACACCGCUGGCUCGGGAAGACCACCUUCCCCCGAGUCAAGUGUUGCUUCGUUCGCUCACUAGGUGUCCAGGGUAGGCUUAGAAGUUGGACAGUCGGACUCCUCGCAGCUAGCUUAGCUUUUGCACCCUUGGGGUACUAGGCUAGGUAGAGUUGAGUCAUUUUGGAACAAUUUGAUGUAACCGUGUUGAACUCUCUUGGGAGCUUGUUUGAUGGAUGCUAUUAUCAGUUUAAAUUUGGAAGGAGAAUAUUAUGCCUCUUUAAACUCCCUUUUUUUGAAGUUAGAGCCUAUCAUGCUGUUUUAACUUUUUCCCCGUGAUGAAAUCUUGAAAUUUGAACUGUGGUGUUAAGUAAGUAUGUGGUUUUUCAGAUGGCCGGAAGGCAGCGUCGUGGCCAGAACGAGCGCGUUCCUCCACCGCCACCACCACCUCCCACUCUGCAGGAGCUCAUGGCUCAGCAGAAUGAGAUCCUGAGGCAGCUUGCUCAACGUCAGCCACCACCUCAGCAUUAUGGUGGUGGGGACCACCAACGUCACCCCGCGGCGGCCACCUAUCAGGAAUUCCUCAGCACCCAGCCUCCACUGUUCACAAGGGCGGAGGACCCACUUGACGCAGAUGUAUGGCUGCGAGUGGUGGAAUCCAAAUUCCCACUACUCCAUGGAGUUUGCUCAGAGGUCACCAAAGUCAGGUUCGCCACCCAGCAGCUUCGCGGACCUGCAAGGACUUGGUGGGAUCAUUUUCUUGCUAUGCAGCCAGAGGACCGAGAGGUGGAGUGGAGGGAGUUUAAGGCAGCUUUUAGAGGACACCAUAUACCCGCCGGGAUCAUGGACAGGAAACUCAAUGAGUUCUUGGCACUCACUCAGGGCAACAGGACAGUGUUGUAGUAUGCCCAGGCCUUUAAUGACUUGUGCCAGUACGCGGGGUAUCAUGCAGAUACAGAUGAGAAGAAGAGGGACAGAUUCAGAAGGGGGCUCAGCACUAAGCUCCGGGAUCGUCUCAACACCGUCAGGGCCAACAGCUACAAUGAGUUGGUAAACAUGGCUAUCUCCCAAGAGGACUGCAUUACAGCUAGGCAGGCAGAAAAGAAGAGGAAGACCCCCGUGGCGGGACCCUCAGCUCAGCCACAUCGCUUCAGGAUUGUGUCCGACACCCAGGGCAGGGGGCCCCAGCAGCAGCAAGGGCGAUGGGUAAUCCGACCUCAGCAGCAGCAGCAGCAGGCACCCAACCGCACCCAAUUUCCAGUUCAGAGGGGCAAUCAACAGCAGCAGCAGUACCGCCAAGCCAAUGACAACAGGUGCUUCACUUGUGGCAACACUGGGCAUUAUGUCAAGAAUUGCCCCAGGAACCAGCAGAGGCAGGGGCAGAAUGUCAAUCAGAACCAAGGCAAGAGACAGAAGGUGCAAGUGAGGCAGGGCAGGCUGAACUUCACCACCAUGGCUGAUAUCCCAGAGGGAGCACCCGUCUUGACUGGUAUCUUUACAGUUUUGAAUUAUCCUGCUAUUGUUCUUUUUGAUUCUGGUGCAUCACACAGUUUUAUCAGUACCAAAUUUAGUGCCAAGUGCCAAUUGCCUUUUCACCACACCAAUGGGGGUAUCACAAUCUCAACACCAGGAGGCAGGGUUGCCUCCUAUCAGAUCUGUAGGCACGUACCAAUUAAGCUGGGUAGUCUCAUCUUCAAAACUACCUUAAUGAUAAUGGGAUUGGAUAGUGUGGAUAUCAUCUUAGGGACUGAUUGGUUGUCACGACACCACGCAGUGAUUGAUGUCGCAGCUAGAGCCAUAGAACUCCGCUCCCCUUUGGAUGGUGAGAUUACCUUAUAUCUACCCGACCAGGGAUGCACCCGUUCUUGUGCCUUUGUUAUGGUAGAAUCCCCAGUGGAAAAGAUCCCAGUGGUCUGUGACUAUCCGGAUGUUUUUCCGGAUGAAUUGCCAGGAAUGCCACCUGACCGAGAUAUUGAGUUCGCCAUCGAAUUGCAACCCGGGACCGCUCCUAUCUCCAAGAGACCCUAUAGGAUGCCUCCCGCGGAAUUGGCAGAAUUGAAGAAACAAUUGCAAGAGUUGUUGGACAAGGGGUUUAUUCGUCCAAGCACUUCACCAUGGGGAUGUCCAGCAUUAUUUGUGAAGAAAAAGGAUGAGAGUUUGAGGAUAUGUGUUGACUACCGCCCUCUCAAUGCGGUGACCAUAAAGAACAAAUACCCGUUGCCUCGCAUUGAUGUUCUGUUUGAUCAGUUGGUUGGAGCCAAGGUAUUCUCCAAGAUAGACCUUCGCUCAGGAUACCAUCAGAUCAUGAUCCGCGCUAGCGAUAUUCCCAAGACGGCUUUCUCUACCAGAUAUGGACUGUAUGAGUUUCUGGUGAUGUCUUUUGGGCUGACCAAUGCCCCGGCUUAUUUCAUGUACCUGAUGAAUUCAGUAUUUAUGCCAGAAUUGGAUAAGUUCGUGGUUGUCUUCAUUGAUGAUAUUCUGGUUUAUUCCAAAAAUGAAGACGAACAUGCUGAGCACCUGCACAUUGUGCUUCAACGACUGCGCGAUCAUCAUCUUUAUGCUAAGUUGUCUAAGUGUGAGUUCUGGCUGAAGGAGAUUAAAUUCUUGGGUCACACAAUUUCUCAGGAUGGGAUAUCAGUUGAUCCUGAGAAGGUGCAAGAGGUAAUGGAUUGGAAACCCCCGACUACAGUGAAGCAGAUUCGGAGUUUUCUGGGAUUAGCAGGGUAUUAUCGACGAUUUAUUCCGGAUUUCUCCAGAAUUGCCAAGCCAAUGACUGAGCUGUUGAAAAAGGGAGUCAAAUUUGAGUGGAGCCAAAAGUGUGAAGAUGCCUUCCAUACCUUGAGGCAGCAUUUGACAACAGCCCCAGUGCUGGCCCAACCUGACAACACCAAGCCAUUUGAAGUUUAUUGUGAUGCUUCUGGUACCGGAUUGGGAUGUGUUUUGAUGCAAGAGAAUAGAGUGAUUGCUUAUGCUUCCCGGGCACUCAGGCCCCAUGAGCAGAACUACCCUACACAUGAUCUAGAAUUAGCAGCUGUAGUUCAUGCUCUGAAGAUUUGGAGACACUACCUGAUGGGAGCUCACUGUAACAUCUACACUGAUCACAAGAGUCUCAAAUACAUCUUCACUCAGGCAGAUCUGAACAUGAGGCAAAGGAGAUGGUUAGAGCUGAUCAAGGACUAUGAUUUAGAAGUGCAUUACCACCCAGGUAAGGCCAAUGUUGUGGCAGAUGCCUUGAGCAGAAAGGCCCAGUGUAAUUGUAUGGGCAUGGAUGUGGGAGUGACCACCCUGUGUGAUGAAUUGUGCAAACUGAACCUGGAAGUUGUUUCUUCGGGUAAACUAAGCUAUAUCUCGGUGGAGCCCACAUUGCAAGAACAGAUUGUCAGGGAACAGGUUGAGGAUAAGGGUGUUCAGGUUAUCAAAGAUAUGAUCAAGCAAAAGGCAGAAAAAUACAAGUGUUUCCGACAGGAUAGCAAGGGAAUUCUAUGGUUUGGAGAUCGAUUGGUUGUUCCCAAAGACCCUGAGCUUAGAAAGAAGAUACUAGAUGAAGCUCACCUUUCAAAAUUCUCCAUGCACCCUGGUAGCAACAAGAUGUACCAUGAUCUCAGAUCUCUAUAUUGGUGGACUAGAAUGAAAAGGGAAAUUGCCAAGUACAUAUCCGAGUGUGAUACUUGCCAGAGGAUAAAGGCUAGUCACUUGAAGGCAGCAGGCCCUUUGCAACCCCUUCCCAUACCAUCUUGGAAAUGGGAGGACAUUUGUAUGGACUUCAUAGUGGGAUUACCCAAUACCUCCAGGCACCAUGAUUCUAUUUGGGUUAUCGUGGACAGGUUGACCAAGACUGCUCAUUUCUUGCCAGUGCAUACCACCCACAGGGCAGAGAAGUACGCUGAAAUUUAUGUUGAUCAGAUAGUAAGGUUGCAUGGUAUCCCCAAAACCAUUAUAUCUGACAGAGGAGCACCAUUUGUGGCACGAUUUUGGGAGUAACUGCAAGAGUCACUUGGGACCCAUGUCAUCCGAAGCUCAGCAUACCACCCCCAAACAGAUGGCCAGACAGAAAGGGUGAAUCAAAUUUUGGAAGACAUGUUGCGAGCAUGUGCACUACAUUAUGGAAAGGAUUGGGACAAGUGUCUGUCUUUGGCAGAAUUUUCUUACAAUAACAGCUAUCAGUCCAGUUUGAAGAUGGCACCUUUCGAGGCAUUAUAUGGGAGAAGGUGUAGGACCCCACUUAAUUGGUCUCAAGCAGGAGAAAGGGAAAUUUUUGGGCCAGACUUGGUACUCGAGGCAGAGGCAAAGGUCAGGGUGAUUACCAAAAACUUGGAAGCUGCUCAGGCUAGGCAAAGGAGCUAUCAUGAUAAGAGGCGGAAGCCUCUACAGUUUGAGGUGGGAGAUCAUGUCUAUCUUAAGGUAUCACCCACCAAGGGUGUUCAGAGAUUCGGGAUCAAGGGCAAGUUAGCCCCUCGCUAUAUUGGACCCUACGAGAUCAAGGAGGCUUGUGGACCCGUAGCCUAUCAAGUGGAAUUGCCACCUCACAUGUCAGCAGUUCAUAAUGUGUUCCAUGUAUCUCAGCUGCGGAAAUGCGUUCGUCUACCCACUGAAGUACUCCCGGAACCAGACAUUGAGAUAGAACCAGACUUAUCCUACCAAGAGUACCCCGUCAAGGUAUUAGAUCAAAAGGAGAGAUCAACUCGGGUAAGGUCGGUCAGAAUGUAUAAAGUUCAGUGGAGUCACCAUUCAGCAGAAGAGGCUACAUGGGAGACUGAGGAUUUUCUACGCUCUCGCUUCCCCGACUUUCUACCCAAAGGAGUCGGUAUGUAACCCCAAAACCCCACCCCCCACCUGCCCUUUGAAUUCAAUUAUAAGAAAAACUUAGAUAACAAGGAUAGUCUAAGUUGUGGAUUUAACUUAAGAAGGGCUUCCUUCUGAAGUUGCAAAGAGGAUGACAUUCGAAGAGCAGUUAAUAACAGAAACUUAAGUGUGAAGGAAAAACAACACCAGCACACCUUCAAGCACCCUCCAAGGGACUCUACCUAAAUCUCGGGACGAGAUUCCUUUAAGGGGGGAUGGCUGUAACACCCCAGGUGUUACUCAGGGUGUCCAUCCCAGGGUUACCCUCUUUUACCCAUUAUCACAUGAAGACUGAUUUGGGCAAAGUAUACCAAACUUGGAAUUCUAGGUCCUAAGCAAGUGUAAUCCACCUUGGAUGUCAUGCCCUAGCUUAUCAUGCACAUCUAAGUGGGGAUCUCCCAAAACCCUAAAGCAAAACCCCCAUAGGCAAUGGGAACCCUAAUUGAAGCCAUGAUCAAAAGAUUAUGUAAACCUUAUGAUCAUGGUUUGGGCCAAAUAUAAAAGUUGUAGUACACUUAAUAACCUACAAUUAAUAGUAAGGAAGUACCCCCAAAAAGUUUCCAGAAAAGCCCUAAACAGUUCACCUAAGAUUUAGCACAAGGGAAAAUUCAGUUUUUGCCUAAGUACAAAAACUAACCCUUGCACAAAGACUCCACAUGUUCACCUUAAUCCCCUUUUCAAAACCCUUCGACCCAAUUGACAAAAUGGCGCCAAAUUAACCCUAGGACACCCUGGAAAGAGAUGACACCUACCCUAGGGCGCUAGACACGACUUGACACCCCUUUUGUCUCGGUUCGGGCUUGGCUGACACAGCAAACUUCUCCCCUCUCUAUCUCCCUACCCCGACCAUAUCUCGACUUGGAACUCACAGCGAAAAGAUAGGAUUUGGAGCAGAGAAGCGACCGUACACAGUGACUUUGCCAAGAUACGCACGCUAUGGCGCUCUAAUCGGCCGUUGAACCAUGGCAGAAGCAAGCUUCCACGUGUUCGACGCGAGCUGGCAUCCGGGGGCGCGCUCAGAGCACGCCCGUGCGCGAACCCCCGCGCACCCGCGGCCGCCUGUGACCACGCCCGCGCCACGGCUAUAAAGCCCGCCCCAGUGCUUGGCUGCCUUCCCCGUUACCUCCUCCGUACCUCGCCGGACUCGCCCGAGCCAGCCAUUAACUCCGGCGACCUCCCCGCGACCCGCCAGUGCCGCCCGAGAGCAACCACCGUGGCCAGCCCCUCUCCCGUCCUCCUCCGUUCGAUCCAAGCCCUCAGAGAGCUUCCUGGUGAAGCCGUGAGUCUUGCUCAAGCUUGACCCAGGGACCCGCGUCACCGGAAUAGCCCAAUCGUGCGCACCGGAGUUCAAGAACCCGCCGGCGCACGUGGACCGGGUAAGCCCCUGCACCAUUUUCCAAUUCCUUGCGCGUAUGGCCUCUGUGUCACCCCGUGAAGCUCCUCGUGCACCCUAAUUGAUCUAUGCCGCCGUGGUUUGGCCGGAGCAGGAGCCGCCGACGACCCCCGCCGCCUGUGCUCGUGGCCAGGGUAGCUCCGACCACCUCCGACACCGACCCGCACAUCGGCGUGACCGUUGCGACCUCCUGGACGUCACUGACCACCCCGCCGGAGCUCUACUGCCGCCGGUAAGCCCCACCGCCGUAAAAUGUACCGCGGGCACUGUUUAAGCCGGUCAGGGAGCGCGGGUUAGAUUUUAGUUAAGUCCAGGGGGCUUGGCGCAAUGUCAGUGACUCAAGCCAAUAGUGGACCAAGGGCUGUUCUGUGAGAAAAGAAAAGGAAAAACCCCAGGGGCCUCGGCGUAAACACGUUUUCUUUUUCUAUUUUCGAAUUUCUUUUCUUUUGUUAAAACAGAUAGCUAAGUAAAUGCAUAACUUGCAGAAUAAUCAUCCAAAAAUGUUCAAACCAAUUUUGCUAGAUUCAGAAAUUUAUGAGCUAUCAGAGAAAAAUAAUAGAACCCAUAGCUUCUGUAUUUCUUUCUGAAGUUUAGAAUUAAAUAAGGAAACCACUCAAAACCCAAUAUUAGGAGGAAAAUAGGAAUAUUGUUUGACCAGGGUUAGAAAAAUUUGGAGAAACUUCUAUCUACCUACUAGACCAAGUAAAAAUGGUAAACCUCUCUAUCCACUCCAUUUAAGUUAGUUUUACCCUUUAUUCUAUAAUAUGCUUAAGAAUAAGGAAAAUAGAAAAUGCAACUUAAUUAAUGAACCAGAGAGUACUUCUAUUUUUGUUAGGUUACUUAUUCAAUAUAGUUCACUGGAAAAAUAUAUCAUACCUUGGUUUAGUACAAAUUAAGUAGGAUAUCUUUUAUUUUAUUAAAACAAGGAUAACUUAGAAAAACCCUACAAAAAUGACCCCAAGGUAAAAACACCCCCACCCUUGGGAUGACUAUUGUUUUAUUAGAGAGAACUUAGGAAAAAUAUGAAAUCUGCUGUUUGACAUUUUUCAAAUAAUAAUGUAGUAGAAAGUGCCUUUUUGACAUUAAACUUAAGAAAAGCAUAACUAAAUAACCACCCCUUAGUUUUCUGUAAUUUUUAGCACAGAAACCUAUUAUUACCAUAGGAUGCCAACAAAAAUACCUUUAGGGCAGAACCCACCCCUAACUAAGAGGUGUAGUGUGAAGUGGCCCAUUUUGCCUAACUUUUGUUAUUUUUGUUUAAAGCCUAACUUUUAUACUUUAAGCCUCAAAUUCUUAAAACAAGCUAGAAUAGCCAGUGAUAACCCACUGGAAUUUUUACAGAAUUUUUGGAAAAUUUUAAAACCCUGUUGUAGUUCAAACCUACCCCAGAAACCCUAAAUGGAAAUUAAGGAAAGGAAAAUGAAUAAUGGAAAUUUAUGUCAUCUUAAGACCUUUGUAAAUUGUCCACUGAAAUCUAUAAAGACAACACCAAUCCACUAUAAUAAUCUAAAAGAAAACCUAAUCUUAAAAGGUAAUAAGUCUAUAUCUAUGUAUACCACUGGAAGCCCAGCGUGACUAAGAAAACCCUAAGUUACUUCUUAACUUAGUUUCUUUAGCUUAUUGUUCUUAAAUCCUGCAUAAUCAUGACAUACAUGUUCAUUGCAUUUCGAUAGACUGUAAUCUUGCUGACGGAGAGUACAUCCUCGUGCCGGAGCAAGGAGCUGCUCAGGAGGUAGCCCUAGAUCCAGCACCCGAGCCUGCACCAGAGGACCUGCCUGCCACAGCUUUGGAAGGCAAGCCCUGGUUUUAUGCAUAACCUAUUAUUAUACCAUUUUACUUCACUUAAUGCUUGUAGGAUUGAUUGUGCAAUUAAGUGUAGGAAUUGUUUGAAACCCUAGUUGCAUGAUCUUAGGAAUCCCAUUGAGAUGAAUACUAGUAUGAUAGGUCGAGUAGUUGCUUUAUUUAAUUAGGAUCUCGGUAGAAGACGAGUGAUUUUUCUAGCACUCGCGCGAGAUCAGGGAUUUGACUGUACCCACUUUCACAUUAUCAUGGUACUGGUUGAUGGACAACAAUCCAUGGGGAUUGGUUGUCUACGAGAUGAAAUUUGAAUAAGGAUUAAGGUGUGGUACCGUGUGUCAAGCGUUUGAACGUACUAAACACAUACCGAGAAAUAUGGUAAAUCGGUAAGCCUAGUACCUGAUUGAACCUGGCAGUAGACUUUGCCCCUCACACGACCUGAGACGAGGUCUCCCAUUCCGGUUAUGGUGGGUACAAGUGCGGUCACUGCAUGACGGCCAGUCGGGGUCAGUGAGGCAUUGUACGCCAAGGCGGUGAGCCCUGUUCUGCUGACGGGGAAUCGAUGGGGACGGUUGAUAUGUGUGGGGACGGAGUGCCCCUGCAUGUCGUGUGUUUAGGUUUACCUUGCAAGGAUAAAAACUCGAUUCGAAUCGUCUGCUUCUCGCAGUUAAUGAGACUGCUUGAUCCAUGCUGCUACAUUGAGUAAUAAGUGGAAGUAUGAUGAGUUGAGAUAAGAUGUUGAUUGUUAAUAAUGCUUGCUACCAUGUAUGAGUAGAUAGUUCACUUUUAGCCUUAAGAGAGUCACACUUAACUUUGACUAAGUUAAAAUCUUAAUUUAGAAACUCAGCUAGUGCUUUUGGCAACCAAACCCCACAGCCAAACAGCUGCAUGUCUAGAGGUAGAGGAGUAGACUCCUCACACCGGGUAAGUCUAGCUGAGUAUUAGUAUACUCAGCCUUGCUUGUGGCAUAAUUUUUACAGGUUCUCUGGAGGAGAUGGUUGCUGGGAAAACUUGGCCGUCCACCUUGCCACCGGGUUGGACUGUUGAGUGGGACCCUGCCUCGGCCGAGGAGGAGCAUGAGGAGUGAUGGGACAGGCUUCCCCAUCUCUCUGUUUGAUUACCGUUAGUUUUAUUCCGCUGCACUUCGAACAAUGAUGGUUACUUUUGCAAAAACUCCGAUGAUGAUGAUGGUGAUGUAAUAAUUUAACAUUGUGACAUGAAUGGUUUUAUGCUUCAUUGUAUUUGCUCUGUGACUCACCUUCGAGUGAGAUUGUGGUACUUGAUCCUGUCAGUGGCCGUGUCGGACUAGAUCCGAGGGAUUGACGGGUUAUUCCCAUUUAAGUGUGGUCUAGCCUCUGAGGCGGGAUUUGGGCACUUAAGUUGGAAUAAUUCGGGCAGUUCCGCCACACAAGUCUUGUCUUAAGUCGAUCUUUUGGUGUGCUUUUUCCUGUUACCUCUUAUACCUUUGUAAUCACUAGAUCUUUCCAUGAUGCUUAUCUUAUGCCUACCUUUUGAAUCAUCAUCUUUCCCAUCUCGAUUUGAGAAUGGUGUUUUAUCUACCCUCACCUUGGUUGUAUUCUCUCUCUGUCGGUUACAAUCCUUGCUUUAGCCCCAUCCUUUAUUAUGCUCAUGCCCCUAUCCUGCAUGUCUUAUUAUUCCCCUUGCCUUUCGAUGGCCUUAGAGUAGUUUCCCCUUUGUAAGGAAAGACCACCAUCUAGUUAACAUUAACGUGUAGCAACGAGAUGUUUGUUGUUGUAUGCUUGUGCUGUUUGUCUUUGUGUUAUGACUGAUUUGCUUCUUUGUGAUGAGUGUUGGUGUGUUGUGGCCCCUAGGUCCGCAAUGACAUCCGUUUACUAGCUGAGUGCCAUAGAGUUAGGUAGCUGGGUGCUCUCCCUUUUCUCUUUAAUCCAUCUAUGCUUACCUUUGCUAUCUAUACCCUUCCCUCUUGCACCUAUCCGGCUGGCAUCCUGCAACCUCUCUUAAUCAGUCAAUAUCAUAGUCGGCAGCAUCUUCACCAAGUGUGUAUCAAUGCUUCUAGUAAGGGGGUUAGCUGCUAACCCCAAUGAAGACAAUGCGAUCAACAUCAACCAACAAGAUCAAAGAGGUGUAGUGAAAGCGUGUGUGGGUCCUAACCCACAGGUCCAAGGGAUCCUUAAGAAUUAUAUCAAUUGGUUGCGAGCAUCUGAAGGUCAAAGCAACCAGUCCACAAGUUAAGCUUUCAGAGUCAAAUUCAACUCAAGAAAGCCGUGAAAAACCUAUGAACCAACCUUGUUUUCUUGCUAGCGUCUUCCUGAAUCUCGGGGGGGGGGGCGAGAUUCCUGUUAAGUGGGUUAGAUUUGUAACACCAUGAAUUUGGGGGUAUAAAAUUUCUUUUCUAAUAUUCACCAAAUUCAGGUGUUACCCUCUCUUUUCCUUGUUUUUCUUUUUCUAAAUAGUGAAGAGUUAUUUUGUUUUAUAUCUAUGCAAAAUCCUAGAAAAAUAAAAUCUUAGAGGAACUUUGAUUGUUGCAUUCAUGCCGAUACAUAGUGUUUAUGAGUGCAAAAUGUUAUCAUUACAGAUGAAAAUAUAUCGAGGAUGUUCCCAAGAGUUUUUGGAAUCUUCGGAAGGUUUCUUCGGGUAUGAAAUAUGAAUUUCAGUUUUUCUAAUAUUAAUUAAAUACCUAAAAUGUGGUAGUUGUGAAAACUAUAAAAUUUUUGGAACUCGAUAAUAUAUAUAUAUAUAUAUAUAUAUAUUUCUUCCUCUCGUCGAACCUAUUCCAGAUCUCGUGCCCCUUUUCGCGAGAUUACUGAACCGCGUCUUCUCGCGAACAACAUGCUGCUCGCGUCGGCGAUCCUCCUCUAUCCUCGUCUUUCCCUUCGGCGUCCACCUCGUCAUCUUGGGCCCACGGGCCGGCUCUGAUCGUCUUCGUCUAAUUUUAUCUAACCCUGUCUACCACCCAUCUAACUCUGUCUAACCCUAUCUCGUGCAACUUGCCGCGCAGCUGUCUCUCUCGCUCGGCCAAGACAAGAGCCGUCGUGAAAUUGACAACCACCUCUCGUGCCCUCUCCUUUCUAUACAUACCCUCUCCUUUCUAUACAAUCGUACACCCUGCCAUGAACCCCUUCCCUCUUCCUUCUCACACAUGAGCAGCCCACGCGUUUUCCUCUCUAUGCAUUGUGCCUUCGUGGUCUUAGGGUCCACCUCGUCGUCUUCCUCGCGUCGUCGGAGGAGCAGCCCCAUCGUCUUCCUCGCGUCGUCUUCCUCUUCUUUGAUUGCCUGCUCGGCUGGUCUUCAUGUGUAGGUGACAAAUCCUCUCCUUCUCCCUCGUCUUCGCAUCCUUCUUCCUCGUCACUACGCAAACAUCAUGGCGGCCAAGGAGCUCACACCAAACUCCCUACUCACCUAGCGACGCAGCUGGCCUAGCCCCUCACCGGUGCGGCUUGGCGUGGCCCACACAGCUAGCCCGCCUCGCCCCCAGCCGAGCUCGUGCAGCCACCCUGUGUGACCCCUGGCUAGGCCGAUGUCUAGCCGAGCCUUCCCUGCCACGACACACCCUUGUAUGGUGCUGCUGCGCACCGCUCAGCCCCGACUCCGGCGAGCAGACACCACCGCCGUCAGCCCCACCCACCAUAGUGCAUGCCACGUCGGCAUCGCGCCCGCUCCGGUAGGCCAAUCCGUUUUCCUACUAUUGCCGUUCGUGCAGUAUGGAAUAGGAAAAAAAGGAAACCACCCCAUGUGGCCCCACCUGCAUGCUCAUUCGUUGCCUAGCGCCGUGGCGCGAUCUUCUCACUGCACACAUGAUCGCAGCACGGAAAGGAGAACCAUCGUAGACCCCUGCAUGUUCCUUCCUAUACGAUAUCAUCAUUGCACGUAAUGUGUGUGGGAAAGAAAACUGACAGCCACGUAUUAAUGCCUGGUUGGCCAUGUGCAACGCCGUUCCGUCUAUGGCCACACUAGAUCCGGUCGGUUUUUCUGUGUCUUCAAACCCGUGGCCAUCCGUGUGGUAAGUUUUAACCAAUGAAAAUACGCAGCAUCACAUUAAAUGCGCAAAAUAUUAAUUUUUUCAAUAUAUUUUACGUCGCAAACAUGAUUUGACUAGUUUCAGUCGCGUUAACUUUGUAACCUCGUCGUGUACGAGUUAGUAGCAUUGUUUUGUCGUAAACAUGUUUUAACUAAUUAAUUAAUUAUUUGUUAGUCUGAUUAAAACUAAUUUGUAAUUAAAUAUUAGCAUGAUUAAUGUCAGCGUAAAUGUUUUCGAACUAAUACUUGUUUAGUAUAAUCUCGUUAUCUGUUAGCUAGUAUCAAGCGUCGUCACACUAUCUGCGCACAUCGUCACGCUGCUCACGCGUGAUGUGCUCGUUGACGUGCAGAUUUGCGCGUCGUUCACGCUGGUCGCGCACACUGUUUCGUGCGUCGUCCGCGUGCUAUGUCGCACGUGGCCGCGCGUCGUUCACACGCUGUCGUGUUGUUUCGCUUUUCGUGAUUUCACCUCGCUUAGAAUCUCUCUUUUUAAUUAAAUUACUUAUUUAAUGAUAGUUGUUCGUGUAGCAGAUUAAUCAAACUAAAUAGUAGAUAUAAUUUAUAUUUGAUAAAGUCGAAUUAAAUGUUAUAGUUAAUACCUGUUUGGCAUAAAUGCGAUAACUUCUUGACCAUAGCUCCGAUUUCUGCUUUUCUUUUCCUCGCGCCGGCAUAGAAGCGAGCUUUAUUUUUUUAUUGCAUGCUUUAUAUUAUUGUAUCUUGUAUGAUGUAAUGUUCUUAUGCAAGUAUAUGUUUUCUUGUGCUUGUUUGUCUUCGUUGUGCGUCGCUAAUAGAUUGCGAUCUGUUCCUGAGCUUCGAGGAAUCGACAAUCAAGAUUUGGUGAACCUCUGGUCCUAAGAUGAAGUUCUUUGAGUCCUACAAAGUCGAAGACCCUGAGCAUCGGUUUGGUGAAGGCAAGUGUCCUCUGACCUAUUGUGUCUCAUUUACUUUAUAAUUCAUCAACCAGCAUUGUCACACCCGGAUUUCGGGGCACCAAGACCCGGGCGCGAACAUAAUCACCAGGUGUGCUGGGACCAAGUCUCACACAUAUGAUGAAUCAUGGCACAGGAUCAAAUGUCACAUCUUUACUAUAUAACAGGAGUUCUAUACAAAAUAAAUAAUUACAUUAUAAGGAGACAACGGACCAGCAAACCAAAGUUGACUGGGAGACGACGGCCUAGACCACUCACGAACUCGUCACAGCAUCCUCCAUGCGCCUCAUCCUGUGGUACCUGUUCUUGACCUGUGGGGGGGUGUGAGACAGCAAGAGUGAGCUCACAUACGUUCAUCGCUCAACAAGUUGUGGGGAAUAAUGUGCAUGAACUCGCCAAAGGUGGGAGCUCAUGUGAAGUGUAAGGCUUACCAAAGAGGAUGGUUAGAGCUGAGCAUUGCUUUUAAAGUUGGUCAAAAUUUUAUUAGCAAUUACUAAGUAUAAGUAAAUACCAACCCAAUUAAGUAGUAGAACCAAAAGUAACAACAUCACCUGCGAUGCAAUGCGUAUGACAAAUUGAAUUUAGUUCCAUAAAUUAAUCAUGUGAGGGUCCGAGCUGCUCAUGACCGUGAGCACGGCUAGUAUACCAGUUUUACACUCUGCAGAGGUUGCGCAUCUUUACCCACAAGUCAUGUUACCCAUCUGCCAAGGGAUCGCGACUUCCCAUACACCUCUACCGAGGAGGCGAGGCAGGGUAACACUACGAGGCCUUUACAAAGUUCCACUAGCUUCAGAAAACCCGCUACAGUUUAUAGGAAGCUCCAAUGCAGGAAUCCCUUGCAGGACCGCCAUCGCAGCAAAAUCCUCCCGAGGGCCUCCCUACACUGACCACUCCCCUACUGCCCUUGCCCCUUUCGGGUAAGGUAGUCCUCCACUAGCUUUCCUAAUUAAUCAGCCAAGGGCGUCCCAUUAUACCCCUGUGGUAGCACUGUUUUCCCGGGUGGUCGCUCCAUGUUCCAAUUAACAUAAUGAUCUUAUCAUGAACGAUAAAUAACAACGGAUAACAAAAGUAUAAUCAUGAGUAAUGUAUCUUCAUACCCAAAACCACAUAAAGCACUAGCAAGUACUACCCAAAAAGUUCAGUGGUAACAAGGUAUAAAGAUAAUCAAACUAGGGUAACCUAUUGGGUCCCAUCAAAAUUAACCUAUGCAGAUCAUUAUGAUUAAUCAGAACAUGGGUGGGUAAAAAAAAGUGAUCAAGGGCACAACUUGCCUGGGACUUGAGAUUCCAGGUACCAGGAUGAUCCACAGGUGACUCGUAACCUCGCGCUAGUCGUAGCAAUACAAACAAGCAUGGUAUAGGCAAAAAUUAACAUCACACCAAACAUAAGAAUAAACUACGCAAUAAUAAUCUACGCGAUGUUACGAGAUCGUAGAAACAAGAACCACUAAAUUCGGAGUUGCGGUUACCAAGAUAUGAAUUUCGGAAAUUAUUUAGUGCUUAGAAUAGAUUAAUCCAAAUGAAUAAUUUAAAUUCAAGUUUCAUGGCUAAACAAUGUUACUAGUUGGUAGACAAUAUUAAUACAAAAUUAUUGCAACUGGAAUGACUCAAUUUGGAGCUAAAAUGAAUUAUAUAUGAAUUUCUCAAGUUUCUAGAAUUGUUUUUGUACUAAAAACUAAUUUCUAUAAUUAUUUCUCUAUUUUUAAUCCCUUCUGGACUGGGCCUCGAAUUCCAGAAAAAUCAGGGGCUAGCGCGUAAGUUUUCCCGAGACUCAGAACACAGUGAACGUGGACGGCGGGUUUAUUAUGUGAAAACAGAGGGUCUCUUUAUGAAGUUUGCCACGCGAAGGGGUAUCCGGAAAUCCAGACCGUCCGAUCACUGCCCAUCGGCCCAGAUUAUGUCUACGCAGCAAAUAACGUAUAACUAUUUUCGACCACCAGAUCUAACAUCCACGGUUCUCAUUCUCUUACCCCUAGAUCUAAUCCUAGACGUCUGGAACCGAUCCAACGGUCACGAUGCCAUUAGCCGAACAGGUACGCCUGACCCGAUCCGAGACGUCCGCGGUUUGAUCAACAGCGCAGCGCCCAGCGACCUCCCCGCCCUAACCAGUACCGUCCACUUCCAGAUCGACGGACGCGCCCGCGUCUUCUACCUCACGGUUCUCUCUCUCUUCGAUUUCUUUUCUCAGCUAUACCGUCGCAACCGAGCGCCACAGACUCUGAACAAAAUGGACCUGGCCACCCCGCGCGGCCGCUUGCCGGCGAGCGCGCACGCCGAGGAUCCCCGCACGGCCCUCGCCACUGGCUCCCCACUACCGACCGCCAUCGCUAACGCUCUCAGAUCAACACCGAAGAAUGGUAACGCCGCGCCCCGCCACGACGAGCUAGCAAUCGGCUUCAAUAGUGGUAUGCACGCUACGCUAAUGAUGAUACGCCGAGCAGGUGCGAGCGAGGGGAAACGCUUACCGAUGACCACUCGAACAACGCCUUCGCGAUUUCACCCACCGCCGAGCGCAGUCGCAGAAGAAUCCCGACGGCAGCGGUGACCGGUCCGAGCUCCACUCUGGGUACCCGGCUCCUGCGGCGACCACCCGACCGCCUAGAGCAACGAACGGAGGUGAGGCGACGGCGGCGACCCCAACUCCCACGGCGAAUCCCGAGCUCCCCUCCCUCCUAGCCGGUAAGUUUGGCGCGGCGGCGGCGCUGAAACAGGGGAGACGGAGCCAGCACAGCGACUCUUUAUAGGCGUGGCCAGGUCGGGAUGAGGGUGGGUGCAACGGACCCAGCAAACCCGGCCGACGGGCGAGGAGGUGGUUGAGGUGUGCUGUUAGCGCGCGGCGGGAUCUACGGCAAGAGCUCCGGAGAGAAGAACGCACGAUAUCUGACAAGGCGGGCCCGCGUUCCAGAUAGCAGAAGGGAGAAGCGAGCGCACGCGGUUCCGUUUCCAGCUCGCAACCGAGAAGGACGGAAGACCUGACAAGGGUGGCCCACACGGGAGUGUCUAGUGCAAGGGAUAGGCUGCUUCGUGGGUCCCACGCGUCGAUGGCGUGAGCGAGUGCACGGCUGACCGAAGUGGUCCACCUGUCGGCACAUGCGAAGGAGAGAAGGCUGGGCUUGCGCGGAAGGAAUUCUCUUAUGGGUCGAAAAGCGCAGAUCUGGCCCAUGCGGCGAUUUUACCCUUUUUCUUUUUUCUUUAUUCUUUUCUCUUUUCUUUUUCAAAUUUAGGUUUUCAUUUCUACUUUUAGAUUUCAAAUUCAAAUUUGAAUUUCAGUUAUGGAUUUGUACUUAUAUCAAAAUGUGCCAAUUUACAUUUGGAGAUGAAGAGAAUGUAUUUAUGUAUAUAUUUAUUCCCUAUGUUUUAUGUGGUAUUUCUUUUCUUUUUAUUUUCAAAACCCUAUUUUCAAAUUUAGGGUUUGAUUCAACUUCUAGUAUUUAUUAUCUUAUUACCAUUAACAUUAUUAUUUUAUUUAAUGCACAAACAUAUAAACUCCAACAUGAUGCAUUUUUUUAUCAUUUGUUUGAAUUAAACUCCAAAUUUUGUGUAUGCUCUUUUUUUAUGAUGCAAAUGAGGCACAUCAAAUAAGGAAAACACUAUAUAUUCCUUGUACACAAUUUUGAGUAUUACAAAUCCUACCCCCCUUAAAAAUAAUCUCGUCCUCGAGAUUUGUAAGAAAAGGGAUGCAAAAGAAUUGGUUUGUAAUUCCGCUUUUAGUCUAUAGUUGGUUCAAAAAUCCAGAGUCUCAUUUUUUUAUAGUCAAUAGGGGUUGAUUAGGAGAGCCUAGGUAUCUAGUUACCUAUUAUAUAGGGUAUAAGCUGGACAAGUUGAGGUAAGAAAGAUUAUGACAAGGAAAAGACUUCACCAGCAAUGUUUAAGUCUUGAUUCAUCUCGAGAUUCACUUUGACUGUUUUAUCCUUCCUUGUCGAGGUCGAUCUUCUCUUCUCUGGUCUUGGUCUCAUUGAUUCGAGGUUAGUGUAUAUCAUCGGGGUUGGGGAAUAUGGUUAAGAUAGAUAUGGAUGAGAUAGACUACAUGAUGUAGGUCAAAAUCUUGUUUGAUGUUAGGUGGGGAUACACAAAUUGGAUAUAACUAGAUUAGACUAGUUAAGAUCUACUUAUUUUAGGAUAGAUCAUAGUUAUUACACCUAGUACGAGAUAAGCAAGGUAGUUAGGAUAUGACAAGAUAAGAUAGGAUAGAAUCUUUUAAGAUGAGAUGAAUCUAUUAAGAUAAGAGAAAAUCUUUUAAGAUAAGAUAUAUUUUAAUUAGGAUAAGUUAGGAUCUUUUCACAUAAGAUGGAUCUAUGAGUGUAGGAUAAAAUCUUUUAAGAUGAGAUGAAUAUUGUUAGGCUAGAUACUUUAAUGAGGGAUAACCUAGUUUACCUAGUUAUUUUUAUAAGCAUUUUUUUCGAUAUGUAUAUGCAUAUGUGAUUGUGGACAUUCCUCCACAACUCAUCACACUCAAUCAAAGAUCCAAAUCAGGCAAGUAUCCUAAGAACAAACAUUCAAGGGCACAAAUAAUUAUAAAAAAAUAGUUUUGUUUUUGUUCCUAAGAUGAGGUCUCCUAUUCCUAAAAGUCACUUUAGGCACAGGAUUUCAAAGUGUGAAAUCCACAUUUGUCUUUAGAAUGAAAAGGUAAGAAUAAUCAGAGUAAAGCGAAAAUAGAUGAGAAAAGAUUAAGAAAAGUUUAGAAAAGAAUUAGAGUAGCAAGGGUAAGUAAGUAUUGGUUGUCCAGUUCUAUCUAGGUUUCGUCCUACAGUCAACAUUCCUCUGAUACCACUUCUGUCACACCCGGAUUUCGGGGCACCAAGACCCGGGCGCGAACAUAAUCACCAGGUGUGCUGGGACCAAGUCUCACACAUAUGAUGAAUCAUGGCACAGGAUCAAAUGUCACAUCUUUACUAUAUAACAGGAGUUCUAUACAAAAUAAAUAAUUACAUUAUAAGGAGACAACGGUCCAGCAAACCAAAGUUGACUGGGAGACGACGGCCUAGACCACUCACGAACUCGUCACAACAUCCUCCAUGCGCCUCAUCCUGUGGUACCUGUUCUUGACCUGUGGGGGGUGUGAGACAGCAAGAGUGAGCUCACAUACAUUCAUCGCUCAACAAGUUGUGGGGAAUAAUGUGCAUGAACUCGCCAAAGGUGGGAGCUCAUGUGAAGUGUAAGGCUUACCAAAGAGGAUGGUUAGAGCUGAGCAUUGCUUUUAAAGUUGGUCAAAAUUUUAUUAGCAAUUACUAAGUAUAAGUAAAUACCAACCCAAUUAAGUAGUAGAACCAAAAGUAACAACAUCACCUGCGAUGCAAUGCAUAUGACAAAUUGAAUUUAGUUCCAUAAAUUAAUCAUGUGAGGGUCCGAGCUGCUCAUGACCGUGAGCACGGCUAGUAUACCAGUUUUACACUCUGCAGAGGUUGCGCAUCUUUACCCACAAGUCAUGUUACCCAUCUGCCAAGGGAUCGCGACUUCCCAUACACCUCUACCGAGGAGGCGAGGCAGGGUAACACUACGAGGCCUUUACAAAGUUCCACUAGCUUCAGAAAAACCCGCUACAGUUUAUAGGAAGCUCCAAUGCAGGAAUCCCUUGCAGGACCGCCAUCGCAGCAAAAUCCUCCCGAGGGCCUCCCUACACUGACCACUCCCCUACUGCCCUUGCCCCUUUCGGGUAAGGUAGUCCUCCACUAGCUUUCCUAAUUAAUCAGCCAAGGGCGUCCCAUUAUACCCCUGUGGUAGCACUGUUUUCCCGGGUGGUCGCUCCAUGUUCCAAUUAACAUAAUGAUCUUAUCAUGAACGAUAAAUAACAACGGAUAACAAAAGUAUAAUCAUGAGUAAUGUAUCUUCAUACCCAAAACCACAUAAAGCACUAGCAAGUACUACCCAAAAAGUUCAGUGGUAACAAGGUAUAAAGAUAAUCAAACUAGGGUAACCUAUUGGGUCCCAUCAAAAUUAACCUAUGCAGAUCAUUAUGAUUAAUCAGAACAUGGGUGGGUAAAAAGAAGUGAUCAAGGGCACAACUUGCCUGGGACUUGAGAUUCCAGGUACCAGGAUGAUCCACAGGUGACUCGUAACCUCGCGCUAGUCGUAGCAAUACAAACAAGCAUGGUAUAGGCAAAAAUUAACAUCACACCAAACAUAAGAAUAAACUACGCAAUAAUAAUCUACGCGAUGUUACGAGAUCGUAGAAACAAGAACCACUAAAUUUGGAGUUGCGGUUACCAAGAUAUGAAUUUCGGAAAUUAUUUAGUGCUUAGAAUAGAUUAAUCCAAAUGAAUAAUUUAAAUUCAAGUUUCAUGGCAAUAUUAAUACAAAAUUAUUGCAACUGGAAUGACUCAAUUUGGAGCUAAAAUGAAUUAUAUAUGAAUUUCUCAAGUUUCUAGAAUUGUUUUUGUACUAAAAACUAAUUUCUAUAAUUAUUUCUCUAUUUUUAAUCCCUUCUGGACUGGGCCUCGAAUUCCAAAAAAAAUCAGGGGCUAGCGCGUAAGUUUUCCCGAGACUCAGAACACAGUGAACGUGGACGGUGGGUUUAUUAUGUGAAAACAGAGGGUCUCUUUAUGAAGUUUGCCACACGAAGGGGUAUCCGGAAAUCCAGACCGUCCGAUCACUGCCCAUUGGCCCAGAUUAUGUCUACGCAGCAAAUAACGUAUAACUAUUUUCGACCGCCAGAUCUAACAUCCACGGUUCUCAUUCGCUUACCCCUAGAUCUAAUCCUAGACGUCUAGAACCGAUCCAACGGUCACGAUGCCAUUAGCCGAACAGGUACGCCUGACCCGAUCUGAGACGUCCGCGGUUUGAUCAACAGCGCAGCGCCCAGCGACCUCCCCGCCCUAACCAGUACCGUCCACUUCCAGAUCGACGGACGCGCCCGCGUCUUCUACCUCACGGUUCUCUCUCUCUUCGAUUUCUUUUCUCAGCUAUACCGCCGCAACCGAGCGCCACAGACUCUGAACAAAAUGGACCUGGCCACCCCGCGCGGCCGCUUGUCGGCGAGCGCGCACGCCGAGGAUCCCCGCACGGCCCUCGCCACUGGCUCCCCACUACCGACCGCCAUCACUAACGCUCUCAGAUCAACACCGAAGAAUGGUAACGCCGCGCCCCGCCACGACGAGCUAGCAAUCAGCUUCAACAGUGGUAUGCACGCUACGCUAAUGAUGAUACGCCGAGCAGGUGCGAGCGAGGGGAAACGCUUACCGAUGACCACUCGAACAACGCCUUCGCGAUUUCACCCACCGCCGAGCGCAGUCGCAGAAGAAUCCCAACUGCAGCGGUGACCGGUCCGAGCUCCACUCUGGGUACCCGGCUCCUGCGGUGACCACCCGACCGCCCAGAGCAACGAACGGAGGUGAGGCGACGGCGGCGACCCCAACUCCCACGACGAAUCCCGAGCUCCCCUCUCUCCUAGCCGGUAAGUUUGGCGCGGUGGCGGCGCUGAAACAGGGGAGACGGAGCCAGCACAGCGACUCUUUAUAGGCGUGGCCAGGUCGGGAUGAGGGUGGGCGCAACGGACCCAGCAAACCCGGCCGACGGGCGCGGAGGUGGUUGAGGUGUGCUAUUAGCGCGCGGCGGGAUCUACGGCAAGAGCUCCGGAGAGAAGAACACACGAUAUCUGACAAGGCGGGCCCGCGUUCCAGAUAGCAGAAGGGAGAAGCGAGCGCACGCGGUUCCGUUUCCAGCUCGCAACCGAGAAGGACGGAAGACCUGACAAGGGUGGCCCACACGGGAGUGUCUAGUGCAAGGGAUAGGCUGCUUCGUGGGUCCCACGCGUCGAUGGCGUGAGCGAGCGCACGGCUGACCGAAGUGGUCCACCUGUCGGCACAUGCGAAGGAGAGAAGGCUGGGCUUGCGCGGAAGGAAUUCUCUUAUGGGUCGAAAAGCGCAGAUCUGGCCCAUGCGGCGAUUUUACCCUUUUUCUUUUUUCUUUAUUCUUUUCUCUUUUCUUUUUCAAAUUUAGGUUUUCAUUUCUAUUUUUAGAUUUCAAAUUCAAAUUUGAAUUUCAGUUAUGGAUUUGUACUUAUAUCAAAAUGUGCCAAUUUACAUUUGGAGAUGAAGAGAAUGUAUUUAUGUAUAUAUUUAUUCCCUAUGUUUUAUGUGGUAUUUCUUUUCUUUUUAUUUUCAAAACCCUAUUUUCAAAUUUAGGGUUUGAUUCAACUUCUAGUAUUUAUUAUCUUAUUACCAUUAACAUUAUUAUUUUAUUUAAUGCACAAACAUAUAAACUCCAACAUGAUGCAUUUUUUUAUCAUUUGUUUGAAUUAAACUCCAAAUUUUGUGUAUGCUCUUUUUUUAUGAUGCAAAUGAGGCACAUCAAAUAAGGAAAACACUAUAUAUUCCUUGUACACAAUUUUGAGUAUUACACGCAUACCAUGAUCAACCUAAGGAUUGACUAGUAUUCUGUUUUCAUGUCCUUGUUUACCCUUUGGGUAUUGAUUAUUAUGAUUAGCUCUAUGCUAGCGCUUUACUUUUAAUCAAUGAACAUGAUGAGAUACAAUGAUGAUACUAUGAUUUUUUUCUGGAUAUGAUGAUAUACUUGUGGCAUUUUAGGGGACUCGAGCGGUUUCUCGAGCGCCUCUCCAUAAGGACUUGUUUGUUGGAUGACCACCCGGGAAAAUAGUGCAACCAUGAGGGUGGUAUGGACGCCCUUAGCUAAUUAAUUAGAGGAACUGAGGUGUAGUUCACUUCGCCGUCGUGCCGUCAAUGGGCUAGGUGUAUGCGGCUCGCUCUGCCGAGGGUGGAUUGCCCCUUGGGGAGGAGUGUAGUACAUUUAGGAAACCUAACGGGCGGCUACACCCUCAGGGAAUCUUUGUAAGGGCUUCGUAGUGAAUCCUUGGCCAUUCACCUCGAGAGUGAAUAAGGGUCUUGCAAGCCCGGGCUAGAGAAGGAAUCACGACUCGUGGGUAAAGUGCGCAACCUCUGCAGAGUGUUAUGAAACUAAUAUAUCAGGCGUGCUCGCGGUUAUGAGCGGCCUUGGGAGCUCCAUUGAUUAGAGACACAUUGAAUCAGGACUACUUUGUUUAUAGAUGAUGAUGAGGAUAAUGCUGGUUUCUAUUGUGAUUAUGAUUAUGGUUUCUGGUAUUCCUUCCGUUUGGAAAGAGUACUUUUGGGUUAACAACUUGGGUUAAUGUUAAAACCUGGCUAUCUACUAGUAAUAAUUACCUGAUCAACUAAAAGCAACUGCUUGACCUUAACCCCACAUAAAGCUAGUCCACUACAGCCAAACGGGACAUUUGUUGAGUACGUUGAUGUGUACUCACCCUUGCUUUCACAAAACACCAGGUUGCCUUUGGUGCAAUCUAUGCUCAGGUAAAGAAGGUGUCGAGGUGGAUCUCCAGGAGUUCCAGGACUUCGACGAGUUUGAGGAUUAGGCUAGCGACAUCCCCCAGUCAGCUGCCUGUGGUGGGUUAAUUUACGUUGGCUACGUUUCAAUUCUGUGUACUUUGAUUUAUAUUAUGUAAAUGACUCUAGUCUUUAAUAUUAUUACUUACUCUUUAUUGUUAUUCGAAGCAUUGUGCUAUGAUGAGUCAUUUAUGUAAUCGCUAUGUACGUGAGUUCUGAUCCUAGCACGUACAUGGUUCGCAUUCGGUUUACCUUCUAAAACCUGGGGUGACAGGUGGCAUAGCAGGAGUGGAGGGCAGCGACGGUUGCACAGCUCUGCGUGCAGUGGCUUGCAUUGUUUGCUCCUCGUUGGCGAUGCGUGUGCGACCAUGAGCUCUCGACACAGGUAGGUAGUAGUAGAGCCAGAAUUGUAACCUUGGGUUUUCCCACACCUCAAAUAGAUAUAGAUAUAGGGAUAUAGAUAGAUAUAGCAAAUUCACCAAAUAAUAUAGGGGUAUAGAUAUAGAUAUAAUAAGGGGUAUAGAUAUAGAUAUAGAUAUAUAGAAGAUAUAGAUAGAUAGAUAGAUAGAUAUGAUAGAAUAGAUAACUUACAAUUUUGUCUAAAAGAAACUAAAUCACUGCUAAGUUUGGAGUAGCAUAUCUUUGGUGAAUACUUGCUAGUGAAUUGGUUUCCGCUAUAGUAUAUAUAUAUAAGUAUACACUCUUAUAGGAUUAUAGUAUAUAUAUAUAAGUAUACACUCUUCUAGGAUCAAUCGUGAGGAGUUCAUUAAAUUGUCUUGCGACAUGGAGUACAGAAAGAGGGUGGAUGCGCUAGUGUUUUUCUCGUUACUUCUCCUCGGAUACUUUGCUGCUCAUGCACAUGGGAAGGGUAAGUGAAAACUAUACAGACAUGUGUGUGCAUGCUUAGAUAGAUCUAGACAAUUUAGAAGAUGUUAUUAUAUGAUACCGUGUGUAUCAUGGCGAAUUGCUAAUGUAUCGCAAUCCCCUGUGUUAAAUUACUCAAAUAAUUUCGAAUGUAAUUAUUCUCGAGGCAUUUGUUGGUAAUAGAACUCUUAUCCUAUACCUUCUACUAGGUCAUGUCACAGAUGAUGUCAGUGUUUCUACUCCAGCUAAAGAAGGAAUUAUGCAAGGAAACGGAGCAUGGUGCGUUGUAGGGUUUCCUCCAUGCAAAGAUAACAAGUGCUACUGCUGCAUUGGGGGGCGAACUCAUGCUCGCUACUCUACGAUGGCUGAGUGUAGACAUGCCUGCUUCUAAACAAAAAUUAAGAUCGCUGUUAUUAUAUACAUUGUAAUGGUAGGUAAUGCUAUUAAUAAUAUAUGGGAAUUUUAGUUUUGGUAUUAUACUUUUUUCCAAUUCACAAAAUUUAGUCAAAAUCUAACCAAUUUUUU
This 35260-nucleotide long non-coding RNA is filed under the name Zea mays. RNAcentral's name for it is "long non-coding RNA (ZMAY_LNC004151)". The record is from RNAcentral. Lineage: Eukaryota; Viridiplantae; Streptophyta; Magnoliopsida; Poales; Poaceae.